RNAcentral lists this small nuclear RNA (103 nucleotides) under Carlito syrichta (Philippine tarsier). The record is from RNAcentral. Lineage: Eukaryota; Metazoa; Chordata; Mammalia; Primates; Tarsiidae.
GUGCUCACUUCAGCAGCACAUACAGAAAAUUGGAAUGAGACAGAGAUUAAUCUGACCCUUGUGCAAGAAUGACAUGUAAAUGUGUGAAGCGUCCAUAUUUUCA